CGCGGGGAGCUUGCUCCCUGGCGGCGAGUGGCGCACGGGUGAGUAAUACAUCGGAACGUGUCUUCUAGUGGGGGAUAACUGCCCGAAAGGGCAGCUAAUACCGCAUGAGACCUGAGGGUGAAAGCGGGGGAUCGCAAGACCUCGCGCUGGAAGAGCGGCCGAUGUCCGAUUAGCUAGUUGGUGAGGUAAAGGCUCACCAAGGCGACGAUCGGUAGCUGGUCUGAGAGGACGACCAGCCACACUGGGACUGAGACACGGCCCAGACUCCUACGGGAGGCAGCAGUGGGGAAUUUUGGACAAUGGGGGCAACCCUGAUCCAGCCAUGCCGCGUGCAGGAUGAAGGUCUUCGGAUUGUAAACUGCUUUUGUCAGGGACGAAAAGGGAUGCGAUAACACCGUAUUCCGCUGACGGUACCUGAAGAAUAAGCACCGGCUAACUACGUGCCAGCAGCCGCGGUAAUACGUAGGGUGCAAGCGUUAAUCGGAAUUACUGGGCGUAAAGCGUGCGCAGGCGGUUCUGUAAGAUAGAUGUGAAAUCCCCGGGCUCAACCUGGGAAUUGCAUAUAUGACUGCAGGACUUGAGUUUGUCAGAGGAGGGUGGAAUUCCACGUGUAGCAGUGAAAUGCGUAGAUAUGUGGAAGAACGCCGAUGGCGAAGGCAG
Molecule: ribosomal RNA, 660 nt
Filed under: uncultured beta proteobacterium
Lineage: Bacteria; Pseudomonadati; Pseudomonadota; Betaproteobacteria
Description: bacterial SSU rRNA
Rfam family: Bacterial small subunit ribosomal RNA
Source: RNAcentral